Long non-coding RNA from Lotus japonicus, 1010 nucleotides. RefSeq lists it as uncharacterized. The transcript has 7 exons. Lineage: Eukaryota; Viridiplantae; Streptophyta; Magnoliopsida; Fabales; Fabaceae. The record is from RefSeq and is a predicted model, not a curated record.
UCUCUCAAAAAACCUCGUGACUGACUCAGAAACUUCUCGACUCUCACAUGGUCGCCGCCCUCAUGGCCGACAUCUCCAACUCAUGCUCCGCCGGAAGAGGAGCAUACACCUCCGCUCACAACAAAACCGUCUACGCCUCCUUAACCGGCUUCCGCCGCACCGGACUCUCCUGACCAGAGACCAACUGUUGAAGUUACUGGUCACAAGGCUCACGGUCCUGUUCCUCAACCUGGAUCUGAACCUCGUUGUUCUUCCCUCCUCUCAUCUCACCUUCCCUUCCCUUCGCGUGUCUGACUCCUCCCUUUUCUGCUUCUCCUUCUCCACCGCUCGUCGCUCGCAAACCACCACAAGCUUAAGGGAAAACUCGUGAACCCUCAUCCUCCAUCGUCGGUUAACGAAACUGAAAUUUCUCAGAGAGCUGCCACCUUGAAUAGCAGAAUUUCCAAUCUUGGGCCGUACCAGGAACAGUAGAGUUCGAGUAAAAGAUACAACUUUCUCAUCAAGUUAGGGACCAGGGAAAGUAAAGAAGUUACAGUUGAAGGGAGAGUGCAGUUUGAUUUGCUCCAGGUUAUGCAAAGAGACUAUAUAUUAAGUUCUUAUUCAUUGAAUUGUGUCUCGGCUCACUUCCUUUCUGAGCAGAUUGUUUGCAGAUAAAAUACCUUGGUGAGGAUGGUGAGAAUGUUCCUGUGGCUGGAGUUGUAGCUGUUUUCUCUCCUUGGGACCUUUUGGUGGGCAAAGCACAUUAGAAAGCUGUCAAGUAUUACAGGUAAGGUUUCUUAGUUUCCAUCCAUUGCUCUGUUUCCAUUAGUAGAAACAACUGUGUUGUGGACAGCAAGGGGCUUGUGUAAUACAUUUUAUUGUAUAAUGUGCUUUACUAAGUCCAUGCAGUGAAGCUUAGGUUAUAGUAAUUUUCAUUUCUACUUUGAUUGAAUAUUAUCAAUGUUACAUAUUUUUAACCUAUUACAUAAUUCUUUUCAAUUCAUGUAGGUUCUGCAUCAUAAACAAUUAAA